RNAcentral lists this ribosomal RNA (253 nucleotides) under uncultured bacterium. RNAcentral describes it as "partial 16S ribosomal RNA". It matches the Rfam family "Bacterial small subunit ribosomal RNA", at positions 524 to 776 of the family's 1533-position model. The record is from RNAcentral. RNAcentral also lists the same sequence under 3 other names.
UACGUAGGGUGCGAGCGUUGUCCGGAAUUAUUGGGCGUAAAGAGCUCGUAGGCGGCUUGUCGCGUCGGAUGUGAAAGCCCGGGGCUUAACUCCGGGUCUGCAUUCGAUACGGGCAGGCUAGAGUUCGGUAGGGGAGAUCGGAAUUCCUGGUGUAGCGGUGAAAUGCGCAGAUAUCAGGAGGAACACCGGUGGCGAAGGCGGAUCUCUGGGCCGAUACUGACGCUGAGGAGCGAAAGCGUGGGGAGCGAACAGG